GGACACACGACUGACCUCAGUCACUUCGGCAAACUGCCCCUGCUUUCCGGAGACGGCAGGAGCGUUUCGGGAGCUCCAGCUCAAGGGCCCGGGGCGCCCGCGUUCCUCUCCCCAGCAGAGAAAAAGCACAGAAGCCACUGUGAGAAAGAGAUGAGGCCUGUCUCCUUUCCACAGAGAGAAGGCGAACAAGUAGGGAGCGGGAGUGCAGCCUGUGAGAAAAAGUGGCCUGGCCUCCAACAGGGUGGAAAUAAGAUGGAAGGAGAUUCAGGGUCCCAGCACCUCACGUGUCCCGGGUGGCUGAUCCCUAUGCAUCACCAAGAACAUCAAUUCCCCAUGUAGAUCCUGAUGUCGAAUGCAGUUUUCAUCUAAGGGAUGAUCUACCUCCAGGAUUCCCUAACAUAGAAGAGGGAUCUGAAGAUCCAGAAACUAAGACCUUUUUGCAUGGGAGGAGAAAGAGGAACCUCCCCACUUCUCUGGAUAAAUGGGACCUUGAACAUCCCUGUCAAGUAAAGCCUGGAGAUUUACACUGUCAGGCCCACUGGGUGUCAUUGGAGCCACAGACAGCUGGAGGGCAGGGCCACUGGCUCUGCUGAAGCCCAUUCCUGGGCUGGCCAUGAAGCUUGUCUGUAUUUGAUCUGACUUGUUCCUGUUUGUGUGUGUUAAAAAAUAAAAUAAAAUUGGUUUCUCUAUCACCACCAUUUGCCAGUGAGCAUCACCACCAUUCCUCAAAAAGGACAGAAAAGACUCCCAGAUGCUGGGACAGUAAGACAUGGUGGCAUUGACUCUCCAAGGGCUGGAGCAUUAGGGCAGUGUGGUUCUAGGAAGCUGGGGGUCAAGCAUCCUCUUCCCACAAACGCUUUCCUGGGUGAGCUCUGUGAACAGGGCCUUCCUCCUUAUUUGAAAAAGGCCAUUAAAAUUCAUCACUUUCUGUUUGACCUCCUCCUGAGUACUCCAGGGACAUCUCUCUGAAACUUACACCUCUUGGAGGUAGGUGCUCUAACCAUGGGCAUGCGGAUGAGGAAACUGAGACAGAGUGUCCCCUAUUAGCUCAAAGUCACAGUCCUUAAGUAACAGAGCCUGGAUACCAAAACGAGUCCCUCUGCCUUAACCCCUGGGGCAGGAAGUGGCAGCUCUCUUAGGUCUGUGAGUGUGUGUGGGUUGGUGCUGGGGUGAGGGGGGUUGGUGGCUGGGAGCACUCUUUGUGUUUACUUGAGUAGGAGAAAGAGAAAGCCUGGAGAUUUUGCAAAGCCUAUAAGGAAACAGGCUGAUGAUGCAGGAGUAGGGAGGGAUUUUGGCUCUGGACUGGGGAGGGAAGAAUAGGGACAAAUGUUCUGUGGCUUUGGCCGGAAGGAUCGCAGCACCCGCUGUCUUUGCUCCUGGGUGGAGGCCAAAGCGUAGGGCCACUACAAUGCGCGGCUUCACUAGUUGGCGCUUCUAUUUGAGCGCCCAUUGCGUGGCGUGUGUGUGUGCGCGCGCGCACGUACGAGUGUGUAAGGUUGGGAGUAGGCUCUGGCCUUGACAUUCCUGAUAAUGAGGAUCUCUGUGUACCUGUGGAGCGCACACUCUGGAAGGAAACUGAGAACAAGUGCUGGCCAUCGGCAAAUUUCCCCGCUCCCAGACGUUUCUAAAUGAGCUGGGGGAUGCAUGUCUGGUUCAGAGUGGGAAACUGAGGGCCGUAGAGACUGUUUAAGGUCACAACUCGAAACACUUUGUCAAGUGUGGAAGGAUAGAAUCUGAAUUGGAACGGAGCUCAAGGCGCAAGAUGUACCCUAAGGUGAAGGAAAAUGCACUUCGAUGCAUUGCUAUUGGCUACCCACCCUGCACCCUGCCCUCAACCUCUAUUUUACUAAGGAGGAGUGGACGCCGCCUAGCGGCCGCACCCGACAUUUCCAACUGGGGCAAGUGGGUGGCGGGAUGUGUCUGAAGGCGCUUUACUCUGCCGGGUGGUCCGAGGUUUCCUCCUGUUAGAAAACGUGGGGGUGCGCCUCUGCUUUAGGCCUCAUGGCCUCUUGUCCUUCCCAGAAGAGGAGACAAGUGUAAUCUGGGAGCCCUCUCAGCUCCUUUUCUGCGGUGGGACUCGGGGAGGGAAAGGCCAGAGGACGGAGUUUUCAGCUCAGUCCUGUCAGGGUCAGCGAGCCGCAGGUUCCCGUCGGGGAGAGGGCUGCGUGGGUGGGAGGUUUACAGAACUGAGCUUUGUUGGCACGAUGCAGUCCUAUGUUUCCUAAAUCCGUCUAUUUCAAAAGAAGAAACUGAGGCCGAGAAGAGAGGUGAUUCAUCUCCGGAGGCCCCACCCCCCCACCCCCAGCACUCGCAGCCACUCACACAUACCAAAGGCGGCUCCCAGGAUCGGUCACCCCACGAUCAUUUAGAAAGACCCAUCUCUACAAAGGGCAGUUCAGUGAGAAGCAAUUCUUAGGAUGCCUCACCACGAGCAUUCCUGCACCCAUAACCCGAACUGCCUAUUUCUAGUGGACAAAUCAACCAGAUGGUUACGCUCUGCUUUUUUCAGCCUAUGUAAAGGUGACCUGAGACGCGACCCAGUUGACUUCUCCCCUCAUCGGAGCGGCACAGAUAUGGGACCCGUGGCUCCGUCUGCGUCCGCGUUCCCUGCAGCGCUGUGUCCCAAGGAGCCCCGAAGCUGGACCAGGCUCUGGCCAGAGAGGGCCAGGGCCGAGGGCCCAGAAAGGGCGCCUGGGUGGGCGCCGUCCAAGCGGCCGAGCGGCGGCUGCAAGCGUCUCCUCCCCCCUCGCGGCGCCAGCACGCGGCCCGGCCGGGCUCGGCUCCCAGUCGCCUGCCACCGGCCCGCCGGGCACACGCCUGGGGCGGGAUGGAGGCUGCGCCAAGGCAGCCGAGGUGCCUACGGCGGCGCCGGACAACCGGCGAAGCUGCUCCCCUAACCCCGUUCCCCAGCUCCAUCACCUCCCGCAUCUCUUUUCUCAGAUCCCCCGUGGGUACACUCCAAGAACUCCCCUCUUUACGCAUCCCCCUAGCCGGUCGGGAAAUAAUCCUUGCGCUGGGGGUGAUGCUACAGGCGGGAGGUCACCCUGGAAGAGUAUCCGUGCUGUACACACCUGUCUAAGUGCUGAUCACCGCCCCCCGCGGUGUGAUCACCU
Bubalus bubalis (water buffalo) is the source of this 3113-nucleotide long non-coding RNA. RefSeq lists it as uncharacterized. The record is from RefSeq and is a predicted model, not a curated record. The transcript is spliced from 3 exons. NCBI's taxonomy places the organism in Eukaryota, Metazoa, Chordata, Mammalia, Artiodactyla, Bovidae.